UGAGGUACUGGCUAUCUAUACAAGGGGUAGGUAUUUCGUGCAGUAUCAUUUUCCAUGAGGAGAAAUCUCUUGGGAGAAUAAGUUGGUGCCGGUGGCAAAGAGCUGCAGAAAGAAGUGGGCUUUUCUAUACAUCAAUCUGUCUUUACUUUAAUCAUCCUCACGUGCUUUUAUCCUUAACUCUGGUCGAUCUUAUUUAUAUUUAAAUCUAGUUCGAGUACUAAGUAAAACUUAAAUGAUCAAUUUUGAACAUAAUAUUUAGUUAACUGAACGAAAACCAGUAGGAUAAAGAAUUUAAACUCAAUAUGCUGCUUUAACAGUUUCCAAUUUAUGAUUUGUGAAAGUCUUCAAAUAAAAACAAAAUUUAUUUUUUCGUGACAAACUAAGAAUAAUGAGAAAACAAAAUUUAUUGCUUCGUGACAAACUAAGAAUAUUGAGGACUGAGGACAUUUCUGGGUCGCCUUUUUAUUAUUAAUCGACUCAAAAAGGACAGUUAUUCCUAUAUUUAAGUCCUAAUCUUGGUAUGCAGGGGAUUCUUACCUGACUGAGCCAGAAUGUCGUCUUGUCGGUCUGUCCUCCAAUAUCGUAUGUGUAGGUGUUCUAUGAAUCUAUAUUCAGAUCAAAACAAUGAAGCGACGCAUAAUUGACUUAGAGAAAACUACAAGAAGAUAGAUCACUUCAGUGACGGCCAGAAGAGUUUAAAGCAAUUAUAAUGUUUGUUUUACUAGCUUUUUCAUGGACAUGAGAAUUUAAA
Molecule: long non-coding RNA, 751 nt
Filed under: Olea europaea subsp. europaea
Lineage: Eukaryota; Viridiplantae; Streptophyta; Magnoliopsida; Lamiales; Oleaceae
Source: RNAcentral